RNAcentral lists this transfer RNA (74 nucleotides) under Oneirodes thompsoni. Its description in RNAcentral is "tRNA-Leu". It matches the Rfam family "tRNA". Rfam says of the family: Transfer RNA (tRNA) molecules are approximately 80 nucleotides in length. Their secondary structure includes four short double-helical elements and three loops (D, anti-codon, and T loops). The record is from RNAcentral. Lineage: Eukaryota; Metazoa; Chordata; Actinopteri; Lophiiformes; Oneirodidae.
GCUAGAGUGGCAGAACCCGGUAAAUGCAGAAGGCCUAAGCCCUUUUUACAGAGGUUCAAAUCCUCUCCCUAACU